This 94-nucleotide non-coding RNA is filed under the name unclassified sequences. Its description in RNAcentral is "RT-9 RNA". It matches the Rfam family "RT-9 RNA". Rfam says of the family: Firmicutes. The record is from Rfam by way of RNAcentral.
GAUUGCUAAGAUUAUGGUUUUAGCAACAAGGCUUGAAUUAUUCAAGAGAGUCUAAUCCCUUCAUUUUGCGAAAAAUGUAAACACAUAGAUAAAG